CCUACGGGAGGCAGCAGUAGGGAAUCUUCCACAAUGGGCGAAAGCCUGAUGGAGCAACGCCGCGUGGGUGAAGAAGGUCUUCGGAUCGUAAAACCCUGUUGUUAGAGAAGAAAGUGCGUGAGAGUAACUGUUCACGUUUCGACGGUAUCUAACCAGAAAGCCACGGCUAACUACGUGCCAGCAGCCGCGGUAAUACGUAGGUGGCAAGCGUUGUCCGGAUUUAUUGGGCGUAAAGGGAACGCAGGCGGUUUUUUAAGUCUGAUGUGAAAGCCUUCGGCUUAACCGGCGGGGUGCAUUGGAAACUGGGAGACUUGAGUGCAGAAGAGGAGAGUGGAACUCCAUGUGUAGCGGUGAAAGGCGUAGAUAUAUGGAAGAACACCAGUGGCGAAGGCGGCUCUCUGGUCUGUAACUGACGCUGAGGUUCGAAAGCGUGGGGAGCAAACAGGAUUAGAUACCCCAGUAGUC
This 465-nucleotide ribosomal RNA is filed under the name uncultured bacterium. Its description in RNAcentral is "partial 16S ribosomal RNA". It matches the Rfam family "Bacterial small subunit ribosomal RNA", at positions 338 to 795 of the family's 1533-position model. The record is from RNAcentral.